Non-coding RNA from Biomphalaria pfeifferi, 246 nucleotides. The record is from the annotation of a GenBank genome assembly. Lineage: Eukaryota; Metazoa; Mollusca; Gastropoda; Planorbidae.
GUAUAUUUGUUUAACUCAAAAGCUCUCAGCAGACAGGGUAUUUCUGUGACUUUCUUUUAUACAUUUGUUGGAUGAGGAUGUGUUUCUGGUGGUGUGUUAUUCCUUUUGGACUGUCAUCACGAUAUUCCAGAGUUCAAACACUGCUGUCCUGCAGUUUGGGCAAGGAUAUAACAAUCAUUCUUUUCUGAAUGAACAUCUGAAAUGUAUAAAACAAAACUGAUCAUAAUAUGGGCAUAAAAAAAAUUA